AUUGAACGCUGGCGGCAGGCUUAACACAUGCAAGUCGAACGGUAACAGGUAUCUGCUUGCUGCUUCGCUGACGAGUGGCGGACGGGUGAGUAAUGUCUGGGAAACUGCCUGUUGGAGGGGGUUAACUACUGGAAACGGUAGCUAAUACCGCAUAACGUCCCCAGAACAAAGAGGAGGACCUUAGGGCCUCUUGCCAUCGGCUGUGCCCAUAUGGGAUUCGCUAGUAGGUGGGGUAACGGCUCACCUAGGCGACGAUCCCUAGCUGGUCUGAGUGGAUGACCAGCCACACUGGAACUGAGACACGGUCCAGACUCCGACGGGAGGCAGCGGUGGAGAAUAUUGCAGGAUGGGGGCAAGCCUGAUGCAGCCAUGCCGCGUGUAUGAAGAAGGCCUUCGGGUUGUAGAAUGCUUUCGGCGGGGAGGAAGGGAGUAAAGUUAAUACCUGUGCUCAUUGACGUUACCCGCAGAAGAAGCGCCGGCUAACUCCGUG
RNAcentral lists this ribosomal RNA (490 nucleotides) under uncultured bacterium. Its description in RNAcentral is "partial 16S ribosomal RNA". It matches the Rfam family "Bacterial small subunit ribosomal RNA", at positions 30 to 507 of the family's 1533-position model. The record is from RNAcentral.